Protopterus annectens (West African lungfish) is the source of this 106-nucleotide small nuclear RNA. The record is from RefSeq and is a predicted model, not a curated record. NCBI's taxonomy places the organism in Eukaryota, Metazoa, Chordata, Ceratodontiformes, Protopteridae.
GGGCUUACUUCAAAGUACAUAAACUAAAAUUGGAACAAUGCAGAGAAUAUUAGCAUGUUCCCUGAGCAAGGAUGACACACUAUAAAAAUAGUCAAACUAAGAAGGG